RNAcentral lists this transfer RNA (86 nucleotides) under Candidatus Latescibacterota bacterium. RNAcentral's name for it is "Candidatus Latescibacteria bacterium tRNA-Leu". It matches the Rfam family "tRNA". Rfam says of the family: Transfer RNA (tRNA) molecules are approximately 80 nucleotides in length. Their secondary structure includes four short double-helical elements and three loops (D, anti-codon, and T loops). Further hydrogen bonds mediate the characteristic L-shaped molecular structure. tRNAs have two regions of fundamental functional importance: the anti-codon, which is responsible for specific mRNA codon recognition, and the 3' end, to which the tRNAs corresponding amino acid is attached (by aminoacyl-tRNA synthetases). tRNAs cope with the degeneracy of the genetic code in two manners: having more than one tRNA (with a specific anti-codon) for a particular amino acid; and 'wobble' base-pairing, i.e. permitting non-standard base-pairing at the 3rd anti-codon position. Lineage: Bacteria; Pseudomonadati; Candidatus Latescibacterota. The record is from RNAcentral.
GCGAGAGUGGCGGAAUUGGCAGACGCGCUGGAUUUAGGAUCCAGUGAGUUUAUCUCGUGGGGGUUCGAGUCCCCCCUCUCGCACCA